ACCGAGAUUCCCCCAGUAGCGGCGAGCGAACGGGGAGCAGCCCAGAGUCUGAAUCAGCUUGUGUGUUAGUGGAACGGUCUGGAAAGUCCGACGGUACAGGGUGAUAGUCCCGUACACCAAAAUGCACAGGUUGUGAACUCGAAGAGUAGGGCGGGACACGUGGUAUCCUGUCUGAAUAUGGGGGACCAUCCUCCAAGGCUAAAUACUCCUGACUGACCGAUAGUGAACCAGUACCGUGAGGGAAAGGCGAAAAGACCCGGCGAGGGGAGUGAAAAGAACCUGAAACCGUGUAC
This 293-nucleotide ribosomal RNA is filed under the name Klebsiella pneumoniae. RNAcentral's name for it is "partial 23S ribosomal RNA". It matches the Rfam family "Bacterial large subunit ribosomal RNA", at positions 228 to 563 of the family's 2925-position model. Lineage: Bacteria; Pseudomonadati; Pseudomonadota; Gammaproteobacteria; Enterobacterales; Enterobacteriaceae. The record is from RNAcentral.